RNAcentral lists this ribosomal RNA (478 nucleotides) under uncultured bacterium. Its description in RNAcentral is "partial 16S ribosomal RNA". It matches the Rfam family "Bacterial small subunit ribosomal RNA", at positions 28 to 523 of the family's 1533-position model. The record is from RNAcentral.
GACGAACGCUGGCGGCGUGCUUAACACAUGCAAGUCGAACGGAAACGCCCUUCGGAGUACUCGAUUGGCGAACGGGGGAGUAACACGGGGGUGAUCCGCCCUGCACUUUGGGAUCAGCCUGGGAAACUGGGUCUAAUACAGACUAGAACCGCGGCCUUCAUGGGAUGUGGUGGGAAGCUUUUGCGGUGUGUGAUGGGCCCUCGGCCUAUCAGUUAGUUGGUGGGGUAAUGGCGUACCAAGGCGACGACGGGUAGCCGGCCUGAUAGGGUGACCGGCCACACUGGGACUGAGAUACGGCCCAGACUCCUACGGGAGGCAGCAGUGGGGAAUAUUGCACAAUGGGCGCUAGCCUGAUGCAGCGACGCCGCGUGAGGAAUGACGGCCUUCGGGUUGUAAACCUCUUUCAGCUCCGACGAAGCGCAAGUGACGGUAGGAGUAGAAGAAGGACCGGCCAACUACGUGCCAGCCGCCGCCGUAA